GCGCGCGCGGAGAGGUCGACCCAGUGGCGUUCGUGCCGCCACGGCGAGAACGGGACGUCGACGAUCGCGCCGUCGGCGGGUGCG
RNAcentral lists this transfer RNA (84 nucleotides) under Actinomadura cremea. RNAcentral's name for it is "tRNA-Thr". The record is from RNAcentral. Lineage: Bacteria; Bacillati; Actinomycetota; Actinomycetes; Streptosporangiales; Thermomonosporaceae.